RNAcentral lists this long non-coding RNA (1413 nucleotides) under Homo sapiens (human). Its description in RNAcentral is "long independently transcribed non-coding RNA 2757 (LINC02757)". Lineage: Eukaryota; Metazoa; Chordata; Mammalia; Primates; Hominidae. The record is from RNAcentral.
AAUGCAGAGAGGAUGCACACUCUGAAGAGGGCAGGCAGCUUCUGCACCGAGGGAGCAAAGGGGCGUGUCAGGGGCAGCUGCUGGAAGGAGGCGCAAGCACCACGGAGAGUCUGGGAUGCCCAGCCAAGGAGCCCUGGAAGGGUUGCCCUGGGGACUGACACUGUGGGCUCUGUGUUUUAGCCAAGUCACCCAGGCAGCUGAACAGAAGAUGGACUGGAGGGAGAAGCCUGGAUGAUCGCUCAGCAACAAAGGAGCCAGAAAAGGCAAGGUGUACACACCGUGUGCAGCAUGGGCGAGCUGCAGGCAUGCAGAACUUCUGAGUCCUAACCAUGGCUGGUGGCUCUUCCAGGAACAUGGUUUCCUGGACCCAAAAGAUGAGGAAACUGAGGCUUGGAGAGGCUCUCUGCCUUUGUCAACCUGGAGAUGCUGGGAAGGAAGUGAGGCCCAUCCCACCUCAGAUGCCUGUCCUCUGUCGUCAGGAGCAUUCUCUUGUUCUUCCGGGCUUGGCCAAGCGGUGGUAAACCCCACAUGUGGUUCUGUGGUUGCCCACACAGUCCUAAAAAUAGCCAACAGGAACCCAGGGGCUCCCCCUUGGUGAGUGGCAGCAGGCCCAGUCCUCAGGCAGCCACCAACCUGCUCACUCCCCACAGGCAAGCAGGUCCUGUCUAGGAAGGGGCUGGGUGGCCUGGGUCCCAUGCAUGAUGAGCCAGAGGCUGUGCCAAGCUUAUAGCAAAUAUUAUUUUAUUUCAUUAUGUUUUCUUACAUCUGUGAUGUGGAGGCCAUAGCUCCACUGGACUCAUGAGGAGACUGAGGCUCAGAGCAAUGAAGUGACCUGCUCAAAGUUAAGGAGCUUCAGUUUGGACCCAAUUUGUUCUGAUCCUAAGGUCACUAUCCUUAAUCCCUCUCCCUGUGGGGUCUUCCCUAUCUUGAGCCUGUGGACAGCUGUGCAGUGGCAAGAAAAAGGCCUUCAGAGCUACGCAGACCUGGCUUCAAAUCCCAGCCUCCCUGAUGAGCCCUGGUGGUCUUGGAGCUGUAACGCUCACUGCGAAGAUCUGCAGCUUCACUCCUGAGCCCAGCGAGACCGUGAACCCACCGGGAGGAACGAACAACUCCAGACCCGCUGCCUUAAGAGCUGUAACACUCACUGCGAAGGUCUGCAGCUUCACUCCUGAGCCAGCGAGACCACGAACCCACCCGAAGGAAGAAACUCCGAACACAUCUGAACAUCAGAAGGGAUAGACUCCAGAUGCGCCACCUUAAGAGCUGUAACACUCACCGCGAGGGUCCGCAGCUUCAUUCUUGAAGUCAAUGAGACCAAGAACCCACCAAUUCCGGACACAAAAUGACACAGUCCCUGCCCACAUGGAGCUGACAUUCUCAUGGAGAGAAAGGGACAAAUAAACAAAUGUACAA